CAACAACCAUAUAUCCAAUUCUUUUAACUCCAUUAUUGCUGCACUUAAGCUUGAUUAGCCUCCAUUCAAUGUUUCCCUUCCAACAAAAUAAUGAAUUUUCGUCCCAAAUCUCCUCGAAUCCCCACCAAGAUAUUGCUGAAGACAAUCCGAUCUUGGGUGGAACUUCCAACCUUUCCAACUUUAUGGUGGAUGGCCAGCCUCCUUUAAUAUUAGCAAAUUCAAACACUAAUAAUGAAGUUAAUUAUACUUGCGAUGAGAAGAAGAUCAUUCGCAAGGAGAUCGAACGGCAAAGAAGGCAACAAAUGUCUACUCUUCAUGGAUCGCUUCGAUCCCUCCUUCCUCUUGAAUCACUCAAGGGAAAACGUUCAAUGUCUGAUCACUUAAAUGCGGCUGCGAAAUAUAUAAAAAACCUUCAGAAUAACGUCCAAGAACUGAGUGUUAAGAGAGAUAUGCUCAAGAAUUUGUCCGAUUCUUCUACUUCUCUUGGUGACCAAGGGACGGAAAUUAGUUCACAAAAUAAUUUCAUGAACACUAUUGUUACUGUCCGCUCUCAUGUGGGUGGAGUAGAGAUUGGCGUAAGUUGUGGAUCCGGAGAGAACAGUUUUCCUCUAUCAAGAGUGCUAGAAGCUGUUGUAGAAGAGGGAUUUGACGUUGUUAGCUGCAUUUCCACCAAAAGAGAUGGAAGGUUAUAUAGUACAAUUCAGUGCCAGGCUAGCCAUCUAACCUGCAUUGAUGUAGCUGAGCUGCAACAGAAACUGAAUGAUGUAAUCUUGUCAUAGAGCUUCACUUUGAAGUGACUUUAUAAUUCAUAAUAUUCAAAUAUGCACUGCCUUAAGAUCACCUAUAUGAAUCCUAAACUUGGUUAUGUUUAUAUAUAUAUUAACAUGCAUUUGCAAACUGUUUGAUGAUGUCUAUUUGCAAGUUUCUUUUGGUAGAAUUGUGAAAUAAAAAGAAUCCAUCUGAUGUGAAUUCCUAUCUGAACUCCUCGCAAACUAUUUAUCUAUUUGACCUGAUAUCUAGGGGAUCGAUGGGGGGAAAAGGAUCAUUUGAAGUAAAGCGUUGAUACAUUGCAUGCAUAAACAUCAAAAAUUGGCCUCAACAAUAUAUGCACUGGCAUUGCACAUCAAUUUAUACUUCAAGGGUGCAUGGGAUUAAACAAGAUAGACCCAUUCAACGCUGAUCGACUAAUUAAAUGCCAGAAAAGGAAGGAGGCUACCCAGGUAAGUUCACUAAUAACUACUGCAAUGCUGAUACUGAAAAUCAUAAACUUUUUCUUCUGAACCCUCUAACACAAAUUUGUUUUCAAAUUCUAUUUGCAAUAAUUUUCAAAAUGGAGUUUGGCAAUGUGUUUGCCCUUGGGUGCCCAAACUCCCAAACAAUAAAAGUAACUUUUCCCAUGAAUUCUAGAUAUAAGUUCAUGAAAUGAGCUACAUUUUGUGGUUUUGGAAUAUAGACCUAAAAGCUUGCUGUAUAUAGUUAAACUGGCUUUUUAGUAAAGUGCUUUUUCAAACCGAAUUUGACUUGCCUAUAUAUCAAGUGUAUGCAUCAAUCCAAUAGAUGAAUGACAUAUGAAAUAAAAAUCUAUACAUUGAUCUUACUUAAAAUCAUGGUAGAUCCUAUUUAUUAUUAUUAUUAUUUUCAAAUGAUGAUUCUUAUUUGAUCAGUGCAUGAAUGGGGCAUAUACAUAGUAUAUGCAAGAAUUUUCCAUCAAAAACAUUGUUUCAACCUAUAUGUGAAACAGACAUGCAGUAAUCUGAUGUUGGAUGCAUGACGGCACAUGAUGAGGAAUGGUGGUUGUGGGAGUUGAAACAUAAUGAUGGGCGGUACGGUAGCAGUUAUUAAGUUGGGGGCAGUGUAGUGGACUGGCAGUUGAGAGAUAGCAAAUAAUAGUAGUAAGAUAUAUAACGGAGGUAUAUGUGAUGAAGAAAAAUUUUGGUUAUAAGGGCAACGAUAUAGAGGAUAAGGUUUUGGCAGUAUAAUUUUGAUAUAAAACCUAUGCAAUAAGAGGAUGGGGGGGUGGUACAAUUUUCCUAUUGUAGGAAUGAUAAGAUGACUCAGACUCUUAAAAUUUAGAAGGAAGGGUUUCAUUUAUCUCCAUCAAUGGUGAGUAAAGAGACAAAUUAUGAUUGCAUGGAUGUAAAACCUAUAUAGUGAUCAAAGAGAAAGGCAGAGCAGGAAUGCAAUUUGAUCUUAGUAGGAGUUAAUUAAUUAAUUGGCAAUAUAUAUACUAUAUUUUGUUUAUAUAUAUUGAUCUGUUGCUGCAGUUGAAGCACACUUCAAAGAGGGAUCACACAUAAUUAUCAGAUGCAUUUCCUGGAGAGGGACAUUAAGUCAAUGGACGUCUAAAUUAGCGCACACAAACGUUCAUUGCUCUUGAUUGGCCGUAACUUUCUUUGGAAAUUACUUUAAUAAGACUACCUUAAUAAAUUUUAUGUUUGCUGAAAUUGCAUGAUCAAUUUAGGCACAUAUAUGUUUUGUUUCUUUGACAAGAUCGUUCCGGUAGUGAAACAGAAAUUGUCAAUUCUUGUAUUGUUUAUACAGAAAUUGUUUAAAUGUUAUAUAUAUAUUGUUUACUGUUAUGUAUAUAUGC
Molecule: unclassified non-coding RNA, 2590 nt
Filed under: Hevea brasiliensis (rubber tree)
Lineage: Eukaryota; Viridiplantae; Streptophyta; Magnoliopsida; Malpighiales; Euphorbiaceae
Source: RNAcentral